This 253-nucleotide ribosomal RNA is filed under the name uncultured bacterium. RNAcentral's name for it is "partial 16S ribosomal RNA". It matches the Rfam family "Bacterial small subunit ribosomal RNA", at positions 524 to 776 of the family's 1533-position model. The record is from RNAcentral.
UACGAAGGUCCCAAGCGUUAUCCGGAUUUAUUGGGUUUAAAGGGUGCGUAGGCGGGCUAUUAAGUCAGUGGUGAAAUCUCCGAGCCUAACUCGGAAAUUGCCAUUGAUACUGAUAGUCUUGAGUACAUUUGAGGCGGGCGGAAUGUGUCAUGUAGCGGUGAAAUGCUUAGAUAUGACACAGAACACCGAUUGCGUAGGCAGCUCGCUAAACUGUAACUGACGCUGAGGCACGAAAGCGUGGGGAGCAAACAGG